GUGAGGAAUAUUGGUCAAUGGACGGAAGUCUGAACCAGCCAUGCCGCGUGCAGGAAUAAGGUCCUAUGGAUUGUAAACUGCUUUUAUUCGGGAAUAAACCUCUUUACGUGUAGGGAGCUGAAGGUACCGAAGGAAUAAGCACCGGCUAACUCCGUGCCAGCAGCCGCGGUAAUACGGAGGGUGCAAGCGUUAUCCGGAAUCAUUGGGUUUAAAGGGUCCGCAGGCGGGCUAUCAAGUCAGAGGUGAAAUCCCACAGCUUAACUGUGGAACUGCCUUUGAAACUGAUGGUCUUGAAUUAAGUGGGCGUUGGCGGAAUAUGACAUGUAGCGGUGAAAUGCAUAGAUAUGUCAUGGAACACCGAAAGCGAAGGCAGCUACGAUACUUAUAUUGACGCUCAUGGACGAAAGCGUGGGUAGCGAACAGGAUUAGAAACCCUUGUAGUCC
RNAcentral lists this ribosomal RNA (444 nucleotides) under uncultured bacterium. RNAcentral describes it as "partial 16S ribosomal RNA". It matches the Rfam family "Bacterial small subunit ribosomal RNA", at positions 354 to 796 of the family's 1533-position model. The record is from RNAcentral.